This 5226-nucleotide long non-coding RNA is filed under the name Octopus vulgaris (common octopus). The record is from RNAcentral. Lineage: Eukaryota; Metazoa; Mollusca; Cephalopoda; Octopoda; Octopodidae.
GUGAAUUCAAAAACGUUCACUAAAAGAUAAUUCAUUUUAAUAGCAUACUUUUCUCUCUACUGGCACAAAUCAGUGAAUGCUGAAUCUAGAUACGUGUGUUUAUUGAUGGAUAAGGAAAGCAGAGAACUCUUUUGUAAAGUAACAGAAUGGAAAACAGUGAAAUUUGUGAAUGUUCAAAUAUAAUUGGGUUUAUCCCCUUCUGGGCAAUAAAGAAAUAUAGUGGAGUGGCACAUGUAUGUGCUACUUUCGGAGAAACAAAUGGAGAAGCAAUAUAAGAAAGGAUAAAUAUUGUAGACUUAAAAAGGAUAGAAAAAAUAUGGCUUGGACGUGUUAAAAGGACUCCCAAGUUAAAAGGAAGUAAAAAAUGCAGCUUCAGGUGGGGCAAGCAGCACAUUUUCUUCUUUCAUUUUCAUAUAUCAUUCAUAUUACCAUAUGUCUAAUUUUAUUUCAUUUAAUUUUUAUAUAUUUUGCGUUAUGUGUCCCCCACAUGUAUUUCUGUUGUCCUCCCUUUCUUGGCAAUAAAGAAAUAAAUUUAUGAGCAUCAAGAUACUAAGCCAUUGAGGGAUUUAAAGUGAAAAGAUAAAAUAAAAAAAUAAAUGCACCCUUUUAAAGCCUAGCCAGGCUCAUGGGUCCGGUUUCUUUGACGUAUGUAUUCCCCAGCUGGACAGGACGUCAGUCCAUCGCAGCCUUACUCAUUUUUGCCAGCUGAGUGGACUGGAGCAACGUGAAAUGAAUUGUUUGGCUCAAGAGCACAACGCGUCGCCCGGUCUAGGAAUCGAAACUACAAUCAUGGUGCUGACACCCUAACCUCUAAGCCACGCGCCUCCACAACGUGAAAGAUACCUUAAAUAUUUCUGAUAGCAGAUACGCAUGCGCAUUAAACGUGCUUCCUACUUGUUGACUUCCGGUCAAAUCUCCUUUGAAUGAAUUUCUGUUAAUCAGCUGAUAAUAAUAAUAAUACGUUUAUAAUUCUUAAAAUAUGGACUUAUAAUGCAUUUCUCAUACACACAUAUACAGCAAUACUAUCCUUUAGGAAAUAUUUCCGUAAGUAUUCAAUAUAUUUAAUUCUGGAGACUUUCGGUUUUUGGCGCCUCGAUUCUUUGUUUCUUUUCUAUGUUUUAUCAAUGAGAAAUGUCCUUGAUGUGUGCAAGAUUUGGUUGCUAUUUCUAGCUACGAAAGCGAUAUGUUUAUGAUCUGUUCGAGCUUUGGCUGCUAUUUCUAGCUAUAGAAGCUACCUUCUUCCCUCUCCGUCGUUGCAGGGUUAGAUUGUUCUGUGUUUUAGUUUGAGAAAUAUUCUCAAAUACACUCCAACCACUGAAAUGUUUGGAAACCAAUACUUUAUUUUAAUUUAUCGAUGGGGUACUACUAACAAAGAUUGGACCCGGUGCACGCUCACGCGCAGUCGCGUGUCUGCGCUGUCUAGUUGUAAGUAGUCGAUCCUACAACGACUUGCGCGUAUGCAAAUGAGUUGUGUUGUAGGUUGGAAGACAACCAAUGGGUCUAAUUAAUGAUCAAGACACGCACACACACACACACACACAUAUAUAUAUAUCUGAAUGAUGUACCUACUAUGGAUGCUGUCCAAAAACUAAAAACUAGUAAAAGAAUAUAUCACACACAUUUUAUUUGAUUUGUGUAAAAAAAUCAUAUACAUUGUUCUAAGAAAUAAUUUAUUUACUUUCUUUAAAAAAUUAUUUUAUUCUGUAAAAUCAACUCAUUUGCAUACGCGCAUGUCGUUGUAGGAUCGACUACUUACGACUAGCUUGCGCGUGUGCGCGCACCGGGUCCAGUCUUCGCUAGUGGUACCAUCGAUUGUUUCUCAGUAUUACUAUCGAUCUGUGUGCCCAACUAAUUAGUAAUUUGUUUCCUCAUAAUUUUCAGAAAAAUGGGUAAUAUGAAAUUAAAUUUUCUGAAAGUGUCUUUUCAGAUGGUGUAGAUAAGGAUUAUGUUGGAAUUUGUUGUGAAAAGAAAAGUUCAAAUUUUAAAAAAUACUGGAAAAUAAGGUGGAGUGUCGGAUUAACUCAUCCACAUAAGAUGGAUAUUAUUCGUUUUGAGGGGUAUUUUUUUUUCAAAUUAUCUUGGCCCCGCUUUUAAAAAUAAUGGGAGUUGGCGAGGUCUUAUAUGAAAAAGUUAGGAAAAUCUGAUUUCCACCCGCUUACACCGUACACCAUUACACUUCUUCGGUCUCAUGUAAAGGAUAAAAGGAAUGGAUGAUUUUGUUUUUGUUCGUGUAAUAACAUAAAGUUUUAUUUUGGCAACAUAUUUUUAAAGGGCGAUGUUUCGUUACAAGAACACUACAAACCACGUGUAUUUGUUUACAUAUGAUCGUCGAUUUCCGUAAAAAACAUUUAUUUUUUUACAUAUGGGCUUGCGGGAACUUUUGAAGUAAUGAAAGUGAAAGAGACUAAGAGAAAGCGAUUGUAUGACGAGGGAAGUUCUUUUGAAGUUACUGUGCAUGGGAAGCAUUGCUGUACAUGCGUGUGUGUGUGUGUGUUUGAUGGGGUGUGGGAGACAGAAAGUAUGGUGUGUAAGUGAAGUGCUUCUGUUAGUGUGUGUGUGUGAAAAGACAAAGAGAGUAAUGUGUGAAAGAGAGAGAUAACUGAAAUUUUUUACUCAGUUUUUGUAGUGCGUGCGUGUGUAUGCAUGUGUGUGUAUGUAUGUAUGUGUGUGUAUGUAUGUGUGUGUGUAUGUAUGUAUGGCCGAUUCAGUGUUUACAUUAUUUCGAGUUAAAAUGUACCUUUGCCUGUUUAUGUAACGGUCUGCUAUGUAGAAAAUAAUGAGGUUGACUCAAUGGAAUAAUGACAGUGAUCGAAGAUAUAGACAAAAUGUUUUUUAUUUAAUCGUUAUAUGUGCCUUGUCGACUGCUACUGUGCAGCCUUAAUGUCUCUGUUGAUGUGACGAUGGUGAAAUGGUAAGAAAAAGACGGGAGAGUUAUAAAAUGAGGAGGAAAUAUCCUUCUCAUGAGAAAAGAGUUGCCUGCAAAGAAAAAAAAAGUUAAUAGUCUAUAGAUGUGCACAGAAACUGGGUGCAAGCAUGCAUAUAUAUGCAUGUGUAAACAUUGUGUUGUGCAGCAAAAGGAACGAACAGUACAAAAUGUGUAACGAAAAGUGACAAAAUCUGAUUGGUAAUGUCCUGUGUGAAAAGUGAGAAAAGGUUAGUUCUCUUGGUUGGGUAGCUGUCCUAAGUGUUGCAUUUAUGUAUGGCAACUGUUUCCCUCGUGGAUCUGUACAUCGGGUUGCAGUACAUGUGGAAUGUAAUUGGUGUGUGUCCAUUGAGUCGGUGACUUCAUUCCUUUCGUGUUGUGUUGGGCGUGUGACGAUGGAACUGAAAACUAUGCGUCGUGAAAGUUCGUGUCCUAUAAUUCUUGUUGAUGCGACUGGCACGGACUGUAAUUGUUUUCAAGAGUUCAUGCGAUGCUGAAACAGUAAGUCUUUGAAGUCGAGCUCACCAAAUGUAAUGGAUAAGGUAACGAAGACUGCAGUUCUGUGGCUCGGGGGUCAGCAAUUGUGGCAGGGUUGUUGUGUUCGAAUCACGUUGUGGGUAACCAGUUGUAUCGUUGUGGUUGAUGUAUUCUAAUAACGUCGGUCUGUCACCAAUUGUCGAUGAUCGAUGCUGACAAUAGAGAAUGUGAAGGUGGCAUUGUCACUUCUUCAUUUCGGCCGACUGUAGAAAAAGAGGUAUAUCACUGUGACACCUAUUGUUUUCGUGUGGUGUCUGUGUAGACGCGGAAAAGUUUUAAGUCAAACUGAAAACACAUCAAUUGACUUAGCAAAUCUAUGUGAUGAAACUCGAAAUAAUGUAAACACUGAAUCGGCCAUACAUACAUACACACAUACAGAGAUACAUACACACACACAUACAUGCAUAUAUACAUACACAUACAUGCAUACACACGCACGCACUACAAAAACUGAGUAAAAAAUUUCAGUUAUCUCUCUCUUUCACACAUUACUCUCUCUGUCUCUUCACACACACGAACAGAAGCACUUCACUUACACACCAUACUUUCUGUCUCCCACGCCCCAUCAAACACACACACACACAUGUACAUCAAUGCUUCCCAUGCACGGUAACUUCAAAAGAACUUCCCUCGUCAUACAAUCGCUUUCUCUUAGUCUCUUUCGCUUUCAUUACUUCAAAAGUUCCCGCAAGCCCAUAUGUAAAAAAAUAAAAGUUUUUUGCGGAAAUCGACGAUCAUAUGUAAACAAAUACACGUGGUCAUUUGACAUAAAGUAUACUAGAACCGUAAGUUUGCCUUUUACUACAUGAAAGAGAAAACAUUAAAAGUAUAAAAGAUGAAAUUAUCGAGAGAAUACAACGGAAUUGCCUCAUCAACGAAACGGAAAGAAAGAAGUGGGGCUGAAUGGGUUUAAUUUUUUAUACUUUUACUGUUUUUUCUUUCUUUCAUUCCUGCAAAAAUCUGUUGUUAAAUGAAAAUCUAUAUUCUAUGAAAGUAAAUUGUCCUUCAAAAAGUGUAUUUUACGAUAGAAACCGGAAGUGACAACAGUAAUAUACGAAUAUUUUAUGAAACGUUUGAUAUUCAAUUGGGGUGUUCCUGGGUGGGUCUCGGCAACUUGUAUAUCCCCAUUAAAUUGUCAAUGAUUCACUUCUUGACAAUGGGAGAUGAACUUUUAUUUGUUUCACUCACUUGAAUGUUGCUUCGCUGGAGCACCGCCUUGAAGGGCUUUAGAGAGAAUCGACCCCAAGACUUACCGUCGAAACCUAAUACUAAUUGUUAAUUUAUUGGGAUUCCCAUGUCUUCUUGGGUGUCCCACUUCUUAUGUUCCGUCUUCUUUGAGAGAUCGGCAUUUCUUUCUGGAACCAUUGGCAUCCAGGUGAGUUGUUAAGGUAAAUCUUUAUUUCUACAGUUUCUCUCAAUAGAAAUGAAUCUGUAUUUUUUAAGUGGCCUCUACAUUUUACACUGUUGUUUCUCUAUAAUUUCAGAACAUCAGAUACCAGAAGAAGCAUCCUUAAUAUCUAUCAUAUUUUAAUCACUAAAGGAUAAUAUUACACCAAAGGGAUGUGUAACAUUGUUUCUACAAAUCAGUGGAAGACUUCUUGUGAAACAUUUGCUCUGAAAUAAUAUAAUUAUCCAAAUUUCUGAACAGUACUGACUAGAGUGACAAGAAAAAGAGGUUGUGUGCUGGUUCAAGUUGGAUAAAUUUAUGAAAGUGUUGCUAAACAAAGGUAACACUGGACAGAAAUACUGCAGUAGAAGUGUAUGUA